RNAcentral lists this ribosomal RNA (253 nucleotides) under uncultured bacterium. RNAcentral describes it as "partial 16S ribosomal RNA". It matches the Rfam family "Bacterial small subunit ribosomal RNA", at positions 524 to 776 of the family's 1533-position model. The record is from RNAcentral.
GACGUAGGGCGCAAGCGUUGUCCGGAUUUAUUGGGCGUAAAGAGCUCGUAGGCGGCUUGUUGCGUCGUCCGUGAAAACCCGCAGCUCAACUGCGGGCUUGCGGACGAUACGGGCAGACUUGAGUACUGCAGGGGAGACUGGAAUUCCUGGUGUAGCGGUGGAAUGCGCAGAUAUCAGGAGGAACACCGGUGGCGAAGGCGGGUCUCUGGGCCGAUACUGACGCUGAGGAGCGAAAGCGUGGGGAGCGAACAGG